This 494-nucleotide ribosomal RNA is filed under the name uncultured bacterium. RNAcentral's name for it is "partial 16S ribosomal RNA". It matches the Rfam family "Bacterial small subunit ribosomal RNA", at positions 28 to 507 of the family's 1533-position model. The record is from RNAcentral.
GACGAACGCUGGCGGCGUGCUUAACACAUGCAAGUCGAACGGUGAAGCGCCUUCCUUUUUGGUGGGUGUGGAUGAGUGGCGAACGGGUGAGUAACACGUGAGUAACCUGCCCCCUUCUUCUGGAUAACCGCAUGAAAGUGUGGCUAAUACGGGAUAUUCUGGGUCUGUCGCAUGAUGGGUCUGGGAAAGAUAUUGUUUCGGUGGGGGAUGGGCUCGCGGCCUAUCAGCUUGUUGGUGGGGUGAUGGCCUACCAAGGCGGUGACGGGUAGCCGGCCUGGGAGGGUGGACGGUCACACUGGGACUGCGACACGGCCCAGACUCCUACGGGAGGCAGCAGUGGGGAAUAUUGCACAAUGGGCGCAAGCCUGAUGCAGCGACGCCGCGUGAGGGAUGGAGGCCUUCGGGUUGUGAACCUCUUUCGCCAGUGAAGCAGGCCUGCCUCGUUUGUGGGUGGGUUGACGGUAGCUGGAUAAGAAGCGCCGGCUAACUACGUG